Molecule: ribosomal RNA, 253 nt
Filed under: uncultured bacterium
Lineage: Bacteria
Description: partial 16S ribosomal RNA
Rfam family: Bacterial small subunit ribosomal RNA
Source: RNAcentral
UACGUAGGGUCCGAGCGUUGUCCGGAAUUAUUGGGCGUAAAGAGCUCGUAGGCGGUCUGUCUCUUCGAAUGUGAAAACCCGGGGCUCAACCCCGGGCCUGCAUUCGAUACGGGCAGACUAGAGUUCGGUAGGGGAGUCUGGAAUUCCUGGUGUAGCGGUGAAAUGCGCAGAUAUCAGGAGGAACACCGAUGGCGAAGGCAGGUCUCUGGGCCGAUAUUGACGCUGAGGAGCGAAAGCGUGGGGAGCGAACAGG